AGUUGAUCAUGGCUCAGGAUGAACGCUAGCUACAGGCUUAACACAUGCAAGUCGAGGGCAGCAUGGAGUUGCUUGCAAACUCUGAUGGCGACCGGCGCACGGGUGAGUAACGCGUAUCCCAACCUUCCCUAUAGUAGAGGAUAGCCCGGCGAAAGUCGGAUUAAUACUCUAUGUUUUCCGUUGCAGACAUCUAAGAUGGAACAAAGGCUUGCCGCUAUAGGAUGGGGAUGCGUCUGAUUAGGUAGUCGGCGGGGUAACGGCCCACCGAGCCAUCGAUCAGUAGGGUUCCGAGAGGAAGGUCCCCCACAUUGGAACUGAGACACGGUCCAAACUCCUACGGGAGGCAGCAGUGAGGAAUAUUGGUCAAUGGGCGAGAGCCUGAACCAGCCAAGUAGCGUGCAGGAUGACGGCCCUAUGGGUUGUAAACUGCUUUUAUGCGGGGAUAAAGUUCACUACGUGUAGUGUUUUGUAGGUACCGCAUGAAUAAGGACCGGCUAAUUCCGUGCCAGCCGCCGC
This 516-nucleotide ribosomal RNA is filed under the name uncultured bacterium. Its description in RNAcentral is "bacterial SSU rRNA". It matches the Rfam family "Bacterial small subunit ribosomal RNA", at positions 10 to 518 of the family's 1533-position model. The record is from RNAcentral.